UAAGACGAACCGUGCGAACGUUGUUCGGAAUCACUGGGCUUAAAGGGCGCGUAGGCGGGCGGACAAGUUCGGGGUGAAAUCUUUCGGCCCAACCGGAAGACGGCCCCGGAUACUGUCGGUCUCGAGGGGGGUAGGGGCAGCUGGAACUUCCGGUGGAGCGGUGAAAUGCGUUGAUAUCGGAAGGAACGCCGGUGGCGAAAGCGAGCUGCUGGGCCUUUUCUGACGCUGAGGCGCGAAAGCCAGGGGAGCAAACGGGAUUAGAUACCCCGGUAGUCCUGGCCCUAAACGAUGGGUACUGGGUAGUGGGCUUGACAUGGGCCCCCUGCCGAAGCCAAAGUGCUAAGUACCCCGCCUGGGGAGUAUGGUCGCAAGGCUG
Molecule: ribosomal RNA, 376 nt
Filed under: uncultured bacterium
Lineage: Bacteria
Description: bacterial SSU rRNA
Rfam family: Bacterial small subunit ribosomal RNA
Source: RNAcentral